RNAcentral lists this ribosomal RNA (1058 nucleotides) under Triticum aestivum (bread wheat). RNAcentral's name for it is "partial small subunit ribosomal RNA". Lineage: Eukaryota; Viridiplantae; Streptophyta; Magnoliopsida; Poales; Poaceae. The record is from RNAcentral.
GAAGCAGAGCCAGCGCGUCAGUCCACCGGCUCUGCUGUAUUUAAGCUAGCCGGCCCUCGGUUCGAGAGUCUUCUGCAGAGCAUCAUCCAUUCAUCAUCCCAUCCCCCAAGUCAUAAACCCAAGUCGGACUCGCCUUCCUCCUCCCCCAACUACUCCUCCUCGCCUCCGCGCAUCGCACCGCACCGGGGGUCACCUGAGGUAGAUCACAUACACAAUGGUGAAGGCUGUGGCUGUGCUUACCGGCAGUGAGGGUGUCAAGGGCACCAUCUUCUUCACCCAGGAGGGAGAUGGCCCGACCACCGUGACGGGAAGUGUCACUGGACUCAAGGAAGGGCUCCACGGCUUCCAUGUGCACGCUCUUGGUGACACCACCAAUGGCUGCAUGUCAACUGGACCACACUUCAACCCCGCUGGUCAUGUGCAUGGGGCACCCGAAGAUGAAAUCCGCCAUGCUGGUGAUCUUGGAAAUGUGACAGCUGGAGCGGAUGGUGUUGCUAACAUCAAUGUUACUGACUGCCAUAUCCCCCUUACUGGACCAAAUUCAAUUGUUGGCCGUGCUGUUGUCGUCCAUGGUGACGCUGAUGAUCUUGGCAAGGGUGGACAUGAGCUGAGCAAGAGCACUGGAAACGCUGGUGCCCGUGUUGCUUGCGGAAUCAUCGGGCUCCAGGGCUAGAUGUCAUCUUCGCCGACCAACGUCGUACAGAUCUGGGAACCUUUUCAGAAUGCAGAUUUGCAAUCUCUAUUCUAAAUAAGCACAUGAUCUUUGAUCACUUGUUAGUGUGCACCAUUCAUGUCAAUUCCAAUGUGCUACUCUGAACUUUAUCACUGUCAUUUGGCUAUGAUUUGCGUGACUGGAACAGUUGUCAAGUGCUUGUGGAUCUGCUGUUGUUCUUUAAGCCGCUACCAGCUCUGGACAUAUUUACAGAAAACGAGAGAGAUUUCAGAUUUCAUCUUAUAUCUUGUAGUGCUCUUGUAGUGCUACAUUCAUCUUGCAACACCACAUCCGUGCAUCUGGAUACGCUCCAUGUGUUCCGGUGAUGCGUUUUUGUCAGUCUUGG